AAUAUAGUAAAAUCCGUGGCUAGAGCAUUAUUCCCGGAUUUAUUUUGCUUCUAAAAAACAAAGCGCAAAAUUUUUUAAUAAAAUAUAGCGACCGCCACCGCUGCUCGCCUGGACGACCGAACGCAGUUGCCUGCUCCGACGUGCCUACGGUCAUCGCUUCGCCGUCGCUCCGCCGAUGCUUGGAGUUGGUAGGCAGCUGUUUUGCUAUGCCAUGAAUGGUUUUGCUCCUGGGGAAGACAGUGAAGUGAUUUUAUACCCUCAAGCAAAUUCCCAGCAGAGUUUCUUCUUCACUGGCUGGAAAUCUACUGAAAAUUCCAUCUCUUAAUGAUACCAUAACUGGAAAAGCAGUUGUUUCGUUGGGAGCUUUGAAAUGGCAGUGUAUAUUUUGCUAUUCUUGACCUGAACGAGCAGAUGGCUCUUGAUUAAAUUGUCAAUUAAUUCUUUCUUCUAAAUAUGGUGCUUGAGUGCUUAAUUAGAUCACAUAAGUUGAAGGCUUAUGUGAUGGUUCACCAGAUCAUAAAGAAAAAGAUAAUGAUAUGAUUAGAAACCAUACCCGUGCUCUUCAUACCGCUUCAAUGGUAUCUGCAUAUAUAGUACACCACAAUGGGCUGUAGAGAUAGUAUUGCAUUGCUCUUGUUUCUUUAACUGAUUAGUAGCAUUCUGAAUCUCAAAAUUUAUUGUUUCUGAUC
Molecule: long non-coding RNA, 689 nt
Organism: Ipomoea triloba (trilobed morning glory)
Lineage: Eukaryota; Viridiplantae; Streptophyta; Magnoliopsida; Solanales; Convolvulaceae
Exons: 3
Source: RefSeq, a predicted model, not a curated record